GAGUUUGAUCGUGGCUCAGAUUGAACGCUGGCGGCAUGCUUUACACAUGCAAGUCGAACGGGAGUGGGGGCAACCUCACUUCAGUGGCGGACGGGUGAGUAAUACAUCGGAACGUAUCCUGUAGUGGGGGACAACCCAGCGAAAGUUGGGCUAAUACCGCAUACGCUCUACGGAGGAAAGUGGGGGACCCGUGAGGGCCUCAUGCUAGAGGGGCGCCGAUGUCCGAUUAGCUAGUUGGUGGGUAAAGGCCUACCAAGGCGACGAUCGGUAGCUGGUCUGAGAGGAUGAUCAGCCACACUGGGACUGAGACACGGCCCAGACUCCUACGGGAGCAGCAGUGGGGAAUUUUGGACAAUGGGGGCAACCCUGAUCCAGCCAUGCCGCGUGC
Molecule: ribosomal RNA, 388 nt
Filed under: uncultured beta proteobacterium
Lineage: Bacteria; Pseudomonadati; Pseudomonadota; Betaproteobacteria
Description: bacterial SSU rRNA
Rfam family: Bacterial small subunit ribosomal RNA
Source: RNAcentral